This 573-nucleotide ribosomal RNA is filed under the name uncultured fungus. Its description in RNAcentral is "eukaryotic LSU rRNA". The stretch from base 202 to 355 matches the Rfam family "5.8S ribosomal RNA". Lineage: Eukaryota; Fungi. The record is from RNAcentral.
UCCGUAGGUGAACCUGCGGAGGGAUCAUUACAGAGAGCCACUCUCGAAACCCUUGUGAACCUACCCUACCCGUACGUUGCCUCGGCGAGGGCGCCCGGGCUCCCCCCCCCCCAGAGGGGGCUCCGGGGCACAACGCCCCGCCGGCGGACCCUAAACUCUUGUAUUGGCGGAUUCUCUGAGUACUGUUACCGAAUCAGUUAAAACUUUCAACAACGGAUCUCUUGGCUCUGGCAUCGAUGAAGAACGCAGCGAAAUGCGAUAAGUAAUGUGAAUUGCAGAAUUCAGUGAACCAUCGAAUCUUUGAACGCACCUUGCGCCCGCCAGCAUUCUGGCGGGCAUGCCUGUCCGAGCGUCAUUUCUACCCUCAGGCCCCCCGGGCCUGGUGUUGGGGCCCUGCGUGCGCCGCAGGCCCUGAAACGCAGUGGCGGCCUCGUUACGACUCCGAGCGCAGUAGCAAUACCUCGCCCGGGGCCCGUGGCGGGUCCCCGCCGUAAAACCCCCCAAACCCACUAAGGUUGACCUCGGAUCAGGUAGGAAUACCCGCUGAACUUAAGCAUAUCAAUAAGCGGAGGA